RNA transcript from Tachysurus fulvidraco (yellow catfish), 1722 nucleotides. RefSeq lists it as uncharacterized. The transcript has 4 exons. The record is from RefSeq and is a predicted model, not a curated record. NCBI's taxonomy places the organism in Eukaryota, Metazoa, Chordata, Actinopteri, Siluriformes, Bagridae.
CCUGGAAGAGCUGGAGGAAUUGUCUCGGGAGAGGGAAGUCUGGGGGUCUCUGCUUAGACUGCUGCCCCGCGACCCGGCCCCGGAUAAGCGGUAGAAGAUGGACGAAUGGAUGGACGGAUGGAUGAUAAACUAGGGUGUGUGCUAAAGUUGACUUUCAUAAGGAAACCCCUGAGUGCCAUCCUAUAUAUAAAAAAAAAAACAUUGAGUAAACUUCGGUCUUUUGGUGAUCUGAGGGAUUUGGGUGACAUAUCAGAGCCGUCUUUUCUUAUGGCAUAUCGAGAUGUCUAUGAUCCACGUUACGAUCCCUGCAUGACCUGCCCACUGCCACUAACUGUUAUAGAUGACAACCAAAGGACUGGAACAUUGGUCAUUAAUUUUCCAGGAUUUCCAGGUUUUCCAGGACGUGUGGGAACCCUGAUGAAACGAGGAUCGAAGCCAGUUUGCAGCUUCUUUUGCUAACUUCUGGAAAAUUAAGGCUUCUCUGAGAAUGACGUCAGAGAAAGAAAACAACGUCUUCAUUUCUUAGCCUUCUACUAUUAUGGAAAUAUCUGCUGCAUCUACAGUCUGAAGGCCAGACACUGGAGCAGACUGAAAGGAAGAAAAGGAAGUCCGCUUGGCAUCACAGGAUGUGGGAUGCUAGAUUUCUCAUUGCUGUGAGAUUCUCUCACCGGCCUGUGAGGUUCCGCUACGAGCAUUGAUAGUGAGUUCAAUGUGUGUGAGCAGACUGGAAAGGAAAAAUAAAAUAAAAAUAUAAAUAAAGGAAAAAGAUUUACAUUAAUGAAGCUACCACCAGAAAUCAGAACUAUGAUUUAAAUUAGCUGUUGUACUUGUUUUGUUAUUAACUAGACCUUGGAUCUCUGGGAUUCACAUAAAACACAGACACACACACACACACACACACACACACACACACACACACACACACACACACACACACACACACACACACAGUACUCUUUUCACCAACAACAAGUAGUACUGUAUAAAAGCAUGUUGUUGAUUUUUAGCCAAACGAUGCUGCCACUCGCGGUACUCGAGACCUAAACCUAACUUUCUUCUUCUCUCCAUUUCUCUUUAUUGCUGAGUAAAAAACAAAAUGAGAUGCGGACUUCUCCGGUUUUCAUGUCUGCCAUGAUUGAUGGUAGCCAUUUUCCGUGCCAGCGCCUGACUUGCCCUCAGCUGGCAGUGCAGCUUUAAUGAGUCAUGAAUCUUGUUGGCCAACAUCUGCUUCUGCUAUAGUGGUGUUGAGUUUUAGUGCUUUUCUUCUGUUCAAGGCUCAAACAGGUGCAACAGAGACGAGGAAUCAUGAAUCAUACAGUACAAAAAAAAAUUGCCUUUGAAAUUUUACAAUCAUUAAAAUUUUAAAUUUUGAGAAUUGAAAAUUAAAAACAUUUUUUUAAAAAUUUUGAAACAUUUUGGAAAUUCCGUCAUGUAGCUACGAUGCUGCACACAUUCAUAUUUAUAACAUCUUAUCAGCCCUUAUGAACUUUUUUUUUUUUUUUUUAAUAUCCACAGCACUGUUGAAGUCUGAGAUCUCCUUUUCAGUUUAUUUCCAUAAACAGCACGGCUCAUAGAGAUGUUUCCAUCAAUCCACUCCAUCUAAUAUAUUACUGUUUCCAUAGUAACAACUUACACAGGAUUUGUAUAGUGGACGAUCCAUAUAAUCUAAUCAAAAUUUCCAGAAUGGGUUCAUGGUAUAAAGCUUAUACACACACACACACA